Nymphaea colorata (pocket water lily) is the source of this 864-nucleotide long non-coding RNA. RefSeq lists it as uncharacterized. NCBI's taxonomy places the organism in Eukaryota, Viridiplantae, Streptophyta, Magnoliopsida, Nymphaeales, Nymphaeaceae. The record is from RefSeq and is a predicted model, not a curated record. The transcript has 2 exons.
GAGGCAAGAGGAGGAGAGGAAGGUGGAGGCGCACUAGUGCCUAAGGGGGCGGUCGGCGGUGGGCGGCAGCUUUUCAGUUGAAUGUAGGAAGAGCUGGCGUUGUGGACAAUAGUUGGCAGCUGCUUUUAUUCCAGUGGGGUUUGUCUAAGAGAAGAGAAUGGAACUACCCCAGUUGCAGCCUGAAAUUAAGUGGUCGGACUUACCUUCGAUGAAGAUUACUUGAAAAAGCUAGGAAGGAUGAUUGAGUGACAGCAUAAAAGGAUGAACAUGUAAAAGCAGGAAUUUCAUGAAAUUAUGAACAUGGACUGCAUAGUGGAGAACAGACAUGACAUGUGUAGGCUGCGUAUCUUGGAAGAAUACAGAUGAGAUCGCCACCCAUUUCACCUCCUUGUGUUUUCUGGCCACAAGAGCCCUUCAUCAACGUUGGCAGCGUACUGUCGUCCGUCCACUGCCCUCUGCUGUAGAAACUCCAACUGCACAUCGAAGCAAGCCAAACAGAUUCGCUCAAAUCUAUUGAUUGCACUGUAAAGUCAUAAGCAUGUCAAAGCCACAUGAACACACUGUAAAGCCGCAACAAGAUCACGUAGGUUCACCUUUCUCCUGAAACUUCUCCAAUUCAUCUUCUUCUUUGCGGCUACGCAGAUUUCAUGUGAAGGAAGGAUUGAAUGCAUUCCUUUUUGCUCUUUCCCCAUUGUGGCAGCAGCGUUCUUUCUUGGAUGCUGAACAUCGAUUAGGUAUGUAAAGAUAUGCAUGUCAAUUUUCUUCCUGGAUACCAAUAUACAGGUGUUUAUCUUGCCACUUACUUCUUGUAUGCUUGUUCCCCUUGAACUUCAGAAGGCCUGUGGUAUGGUUUAUUUAUUUUAA